Molecule: ribosomal RNA, 1695 nt
Filed under: Escherichia coli
Lineage: Bacteria; Pseudomonadati; Pseudomonadota; Gammaproteobacteria; Enterobacterales; Enterobacteriaceae
Description: partial 23S ribosomal RNA
Rfam family: Bacterial large subunit ribosomal RNA
Source: RNAcentral
GAAGGUGUGCUGUGAGGCAUGCUGGAGGUAUCAGAAGUGCGAAUGCUGACAUAAGUAACGAUAAAGCGGGUGAAAAGCCCGCUCGCCGGAAGACCAAGGGUUCCUGUCCAACGUUAAUCGGGGCAGGGUGAGUCGACCCCUAAGGCGAGGCCGAAAGGCGUAGUCGAUGGGAAACAGGUUAAUAUUCCUGUACUUGGUGUUACUGCGAAGGGGGGACGGAGAAGGCUAUGUUGGCCGGGCGACGGUUGUCCCGGUUUAAGCGUGUAGGCUGGUUUUCCAGGCAAAUCCGGAAAAUCAAGGCUGAGGCGUGAUGACGAGGCACUACGGUGCUGAAGCAACAAAUGCCCUGCUUCCAGGAAAAGCCUCUAAGCAUCAGGUAACAUCAAAUCGUACCCCAAACCGACACAGGUGGUCAGGUAGAGAAUACCAAGGCGCUUGAGAGAACUCGGGUGAAGGAACUAGGCAAAAUGGUGCCGUAACUUCGGGAGAAGGCACGCUGAUAUGUAGGUGAAGCGACUUGCUCGUGGAGCUGAAAUCAGUCGAAGAUACCAGCUGGCUGCAACUGUUUAUUAAAAACACAGCACUGUGCAAACACGAAAGUGGACGUAUACGGUGUGACGCCUGCCCGGUGCCGGAAGGUUAAUUGAUGGGGUUAGCGGUAACGCGAAGCUCUUGAUCGAAGCCCCGGUAAACGGCGGCCGUAACUAUAACGGUCCUAAGGUAGCGAAAUUCCUUGUCGGGUAAGUUCCGACCUGCACGAAUGGCGUAAUGAUGGCCAGGCUGUCUCCACCCGAGACUCAGUGAAAUUGAACUCGCUGUGAAGAUGCAGUGUACCCGCGGCAAGACGGAAAGACCCCGUGAACCUUUACUAUAGCUUGACACUGAACAUUGAGCCUUGAUGUGUAGGAUAGGUGGGAGGCUUGGAAGUGUGGACGCCAGUCUGCAUGGAGCCGACCUUGAAAUACCACCCUUUAAUGUUUGAUGUUCUAACGUUGACCCGUAAUCCGGGUUGCGGACAGUGUCUGGUGGGUAGUUUGACUGGGGCGGUCUCCUCCUAAAGAGUAACGGAGGAGCACGAAGGUUGGCUAAUCCUGGUCGGACAUCAGGAGGUUAGUGCAAUGGCAUAAGCCAGCUUGACUGCGAGCGUGACGGCGCGAGCAGGUGCGAAAGCAGGUCAUAGUGAUCCGGUGGUUCUGAAUGGAAGGGCCAUCGCUCAACGGAUAAAAGGUACUCCGGGGAUAACAGGCUGAUACCGCCCAAGAGUUCAUAUCGACGGCGGUGUUUGGCACCUCGAUGUCGGCUCAUCACAUCCUGGGGCUGAAGUAGGUCCCAAGGGUAUGGCUGUUCGCCAUUUAAAGUGGUACGCGAGCUGGGUUUAGAACGUCGUGAGACAGUUCGGUCCCUAUCUGCCGUGGGCGCUGGAGAACUGAGGGGGGCUGCUCCUAGUACGAGAGGACCGGAGUGGACGCAUCACUGGUGUUCGGGUUGUCAUGCCAAUGGCACUGCCCGGUAGCUAAAUGCGGAAGAGAUAAGUGCUGAAAGCAUCUAAGCACGAAACUUGCCCCGAGAUGAGUUCUCCCUGACUCCUUGAGAGUCCUGAAGGAACGUUGAAGACGACGACGUUGAUAGGCCGGGUGUGUAAGCGCAGCGAUGCGUUGAGCUAACCGGUACUAAUGAACCGUGAGGCUUAACCUU